AGCACUCACACGCAGGCACUCUUACACCUGAACCUUGUCUUCGGCUAUGUUCUCUGUUAUUUGUGUUGAGGAAAUACACAAAUACCAAAAAGUGUAUAUUUUUAUUGAAAGCUGCAGGUUGUUUAUUUGGUUUUCUUUCAUCAAGCAGUAAGCUCUUUGAUACAACGCAAGACCACCAAUUACUGACGCCGGGAUGUUAGGUCUAAUUGGCAAAUCUGCGGGGGGUGGCCCCCUUGUCCUCGCGGUCACCGUAGGAUUGGCAGUAUUGGCCGUGCUGUGGGAGCUUAAGAGGAAAAUAAGUGUCUGCGCUACAGAUUUACCCAAACGUGAAUUUGUUGAACAGCAUGAAGACGGACAAUUAGAUUCGUCUUUUAUGGAAAAAUAUUUUUACCUGGGAAGCAAUGGACCCUAUAGAAUUAUCAUCAAAAAAAGGAAGUUUUCCAGGGGCAAAGACAACCCUGGGCACACGGGUUUUGUUGAAGCGGACCACAUCCCACCCCUGAACUCCCUGAAGAGGGCUGCGCUAGAGCCUGAGUUUGAGGCGCUGGAGGAAAUAAAUCCGGUCCUUUAUGGUAUGGUGAAGAGCCUGGAGAACGAUCCGCGGGGGAAAAAUCUCUUCACCGUCCAGGUCCUCAAGCAAAAUCACAUGGCCGCUCUGUCCAGCGGCAAUAGUAGAGAGUCUGUUGAUGUCAGGGGUCUUCUCGCACGUAGAAUUGCAAGAGGAGAAGUGAUGUCAAUGUUGAAGCAAGCCAUGUUGGCCGCCCACCCAUUUGCUUCCCGGCAAAUAAGAGACCAAACAGGAAUACGGAGAACACCCCCAAAAGGCCAAAUAACAAUUUCAAGGCAAAGAACGAUGAAGAUCUACCAAGAGGCCUUCCGGGGAUUGAUCGACUUUAACUUCGCCAGAGGGGUCAUCACUGAAGAAGAGUGUGAUGUGCUAAAGAAAUAUGUCGAAAAACAUUAUGGCGUAAAUGGGGACUUUGACAUAGUUUCCGAUGAAUACCAAGAGGUCCUUGCAACCGUGAAUAACUCAAAAAGAUGAAAAAUAUGUAGCUUCCUCAUAUGUUUACAUAUUAAAUAUUUUCACCAUAAAGUCUAAAAGGAAGCUUGUAUGGCCCUGCAUGUAUUGUAUCUUUGUGCGAUCUUUCAAGUAACGUUAUGCGUUAAAUUUGCGAUGGCGUUUUACCGCUUUCAACUACUUGGCAUGUUAUUACAUUUAGCUGUAUUCAUAUAUUCAGAGCAAUAUUUUACAUGACAGCUAUAGUUAAAUAUAUAUAUAGUUGCCUAAAUAAAUACUACCAUGAAUAGAUUCUGGUGUCUGUCGUGUUUCUAAUUCAAGCCCUCCUGGUGUAGACCAGGACAGAGUUAUCAGCAAUAGUAUCUGUCUGCGUCCUGCAAGACGGAGGCGUAACUUGUAGUAGGAGGCGUAACUUGUAGUCGGAGGAGGCGUAACUUGUAGUCGGAGGAGGCGUAACUUGUAGUCGGAGGAGGCGUAACUUGUAGUAGGAGGCGUAACUUGUAGUAGGAGGCGUAACUUGUAGUCGGAGGAGGCGUAACUUGUAGUAGGAGGCGUAACUUGUAGUCGGAGGAGGUGUAACUUGUAGUAGGAGGCGUAACUUGUAGUCGGAGGAGGCGUAACUUGUAGUCGGAGGAGGCGCAACUUGUAGUAGGAGGCGUAACUUGUAGUAGGAGGCGUAACUUGUAGUAGGAGGCGUAACUUGUAGUCGGAGGAGGCGUAACUUGUAGUCGGAGGAGGCGUAACUUGUAGUAGGAGGCGUAACUUGUAGUAGGAGGCGUAACUUGUAGUAGGAGGCGUAACUUGUAGUCGGAGGAGGCGUAACUUGUAGUCGGAGGAGGCGUAACUUGUAGUAGGAGGCGUAACUUGUAGUAGGAGGCGUAACUUGUAGUAGGAGGCGUAACUUGUAGUCGGAGGAGGCGUAACUUGUAGUCGGAGGAGGCGUAACUUGUAGUAGGAGGCGUAACUUGUAGUAGGAGGCGUAACUUGCAGUCGGAGGCGUGUCUAGUACUUUUCUAAUUCGCGGAAGUGAAUUACUUAAAACUGACAUCCCUGAGUC
This 2075-nucleotide long non-coding RNA is filed under the name Gadus morhua (Atlantic cod). Its description in RNAcentral is "lncRNA (ENSGMOG00000026431.1)". The record is from RNAcentral. Lineage: Eukaryota; Metazoa; Chordata; Actinopteri; Gadiformes; Gadidae.